AUGGUGUGCUGGAAUGUGAGAGGGCUCAACAGCCCAGCCAAGAAGGAUGCGCUAAGGGAGCUUGUCAACUCGAUGAAUGUAGCUAUCUGGUGUAUCUUGGAGACAAAACUCGUCCAUGUAGAUAGAUAUGUUAUCAUGCGAUGCUUGGGGCCGGCUUAUGAUGGUUUCGCGUAUCUCCCUGCGUCGGAUACCUGUGGUGGCAUUUUCAUUGCUUGGGACUCCUCGAGGGUGUCGAUAUCUAACACAGUGCUGGAUACUAACUUCAUGACUGGCUAUGUUUCCCCAAGGGAGGGACAACCUUGA
RNAcentral lists this ribosomal RNA (303 nucleotides) under Triticum aestivum (bread wheat). RNAcentral describes it as "partial small subunit ribosomal RNA". Lineage: Eukaryota; Viridiplantae; Streptophyta; Magnoliopsida; Poales; Poaceae. The record is from RNAcentral.